ACACGACUACAUUAGAUACCCGGGUAGUCCCAGCCCUAAACGAUGCGCGUUAGGUGUAUCGGUGACCACGAGGCACCGAGGUGCCGAAGGGAAACCGUGAAACGUGCCGCCUGGGGAGUACGGUCGCAAGGCUGAAACUUAAAGGAAUUGGCGGGGAGCACCACAAGAGGUGGAGGCUGCGGUUCAAUUGGACUCAACGCCGGAAAACUCAUCGGGAGCGACAGCAGUAUGAUUGCCAGGUUGAUGACCUUGCUUGACAAGCUG
RNAcentral lists this ribosomal RNA (264 nucleotides) under uncultured archaeon. RNAcentral's name for it is "partial 16S ribosomal RNA". It matches the Rfam family "Archaeal small subunit ribosomal RNA", at positions 717 to 982 of the family's 1478-position model. The record is from RNAcentral.